Pezoporus occidentalis (night parrot) is the source of this 1449-nucleotide long non-coding RNA. RefSeq lists it as uncharacterized. The transcript is spliced from 3 exons. Lineage: Eukaryota; Metazoa; Chordata; Aves; Psittaciformes; Psittacidae. The record is from RefSeq and is a predicted model, not a curated record.
GUGUCAAUAAUUGCGUGAAAGCCAGUGCAGCAAGUUGUAGAUCAAUUGAAGUUUGCCAUAAAAAGGCAUUAAGAUGUGCCUCCAGGACAGUGAUAUACUGAGGAAUUUAUCGGGCAAUGGUGUCUGCUUUGAUUUAGUAUCAAUAAUGGAGAUAGGUGUUAAAAGACUGACCAUUCCAUGAAGAGACAUUCUCUUCAGGACAGCAAAUCUCUUUUCACUGACGUGUUUGUUAGCACAAGUCAAUGAGGGUGUAAAUUUGAUCCCCUACCUCUCUUGGUCUCUGCUGCUCUUAGGUCUGUUGAGGUAGAGGUCUUUUCUGAUGAACCUCAGCUCUGGGAAGUGGAUGACAACUAUAACUUCCAAGAGCACCCUUUGCAUCCUGGCCAUCCUGAGUAAAUAGAGCCUAUACACAGCUUUUAAGGAAGGGGAAGAGAACCCCCCCGAAAAGACUUUUUCCCCAAGGAAGGACCGAAAGCAACUGCAAUCAGGAAGCAUAGGGGAUCCCUGGAAUUAGACUGCGAGUUGAGGGAAGUAUUAUUUAAAGUAUGUAGCUGCCUGGUACCUCAGCCUCUCCUUCCUCAUAUUUCACUCCUCAGGUUUGGUGUCUCCUCUUUUCACAGGAAAGUAAAUAUCUCUUCAGCGUUUGGGGGUUGCUGCUGCUGGCUUCAUACAGACCCAUUAAACGGUGGUGCUCACAGUUGCUGCCUGACUGUCCAGACUGAUCAGAUCUCUUCAUUGUGUGCACUCAAGUGUCAGCCAGUGCCAUACUGACUGGUGUAUGGUUUGGUGUGGAGAUUACUGAUGAAGAAUUUGUGCUGCUACUUGACAGAAUCCCCCUUGAUGAAGAUGGAAAUGUCAGAUACCACCAGUUCAUGGCCAGGUUUGAUUCCUGGUUACUUCACCACCAUGUUUUUAAUAGACCAUUUCAGGCAUAAAGAGCAGCACAAGGUGACUGAUAUUUGAGAGAAGCUCAGAGAGACCAGGUUUCUUAGAAAACAGCAUGGAAUGACAGUAUGGGAAGAUUUCACAUGGUACAAUGAACAUUUCCUGUGUUAUGUACAUCUAUUGAUAUUAUCUUAGUUUGACCUGUCCAGAGAUUUUGAAAGAGAAGUUCACUUUCGUCUUCCCAGCUUUAUCUUUGCUUCUUUUUAGGUUCUGCUUACAGAACCAGCACAUUAGUCACACUCCUUCUACACCAUUCUAAACCUCUACAUUCCUUCUAAACCUCAAACAAGUUGCCAGUGGGACCUGAGUCAUGUGUGGGCCUUGUCAUGGCCUUUUUCUAAAUAGCUGGAAUACUUUUUUCCUGCUAAGAUGACAUUAUAAAGGGGUGCAGUUGUGUAGGAGGUUUUGAUAUAACUUUAAAAUCACAUUUAAUCUCUACGCAUGUAAGAUUUCUGCAAGGAAAUUUCUUGUAUUUUGAUGACAGUAGUAAAGAAUUAUGUCAAG